This 510-nucleotide ribosomal RNA is filed under the name uncultured bacterium. Its description in RNAcentral is "partial 16S ribosomal RNA". It matches the Rfam family "Bacterial small subunit ribosomal RNA", at positions 28 to 507 of the family's 1533-position model. The record is from RNAcentral.
GACGAACGCUGGCGGCGUGCUUAACACAUGCAAGUCGAACGAAGAGCGAUGGAAGCUUGCUUCUAUCAAUCUUAGUGGCGAACGGGUGAGUAACGCGUAAUCAACCUGCCCUUCAGAGGGGGACAACAGUUGGAAACGACUGCUAAUACCGCAUACGAUCCAAUCUCGGCAUCGGGACUGGAUGAAAGGUGGCCUCUAUUUAUAAGCUAUCACUGAAGGAGGGGAUUGCGUCUGAUUAGCUAGUUGGAGGGGUAACGGCCCACCAAGGCGAUGAUCAGUAGCCGGUCUGAGAGGAUGAACGGCCACAUUGGGACUGAGACACGGCCCAGACUCCUACGGGAGGCAGCAGUGGGGAAUCUUCCGCAAUGGACGAAAGUCUGACGGAGCAACGCCGCGUGAGUGAUGACGGCCUUCGGGUUGUAAAGCUCUGUUAAUCGGGACGAAUGGUUCUUGUGCAAAUAGUGCGAGGAUUUGACGGUACCGGAAUAGAAAGCCACGGCUAACUACGUG